ACUUCCUAAGCCGGAACGAAAAAUGUGUUUUUGAAUAAAGGGCGCAUUUUGGCUUUGUGGUUGUGAUGUUGUGUUUGCUAAUUUGCCUGACGUUUGUUGGGUGUCAUCAUUAAGCCUUUGGAUUAAUGAUUAUUUAUUUUUCUGAACAUUUACCCUGUCUGUCCAUAGUGAUUACAGUAGCACCGCAAAUUGCGGUGCUUUUUUUU
Pragia fontium is the source of this 206-nucleotide non-coding RNA. The record is from Rfam. Lineage: Bacteria; Pseudomonadati; Pseudomonadota; Gammaproteobacteria; Enterobacterales; Budviciaceae.